Molecule: ribosomal RNA, 615 nt
Filed under: uncultured bacterium
Lineage: Bacteria
Description: bacterial SSU rRNA
Rfam family: Bacterial small subunit ribosomal RNA
Source: RNAcentral
CCAGCAGCCGCGGUAAUACAGAGGUCUCGAGCGUUGUUCGGAUUCAUUGGGCGUAAAGGGCGCGUAGGCGGCGGGGUAAGUCUGGUGUGAAAUCUAGGAGCUCAACUCCUAAACUGCACUGGAUACUGCUCUGCUAGAGGACUGGAGAGGAGACUGGAAUUCACGGUGUAGCAGUGAAAUGCGUAGAUAUCGUGAGGAAGACCAGUGGCGAAGGCGGGUCUCUGGACAGUUCCUGACGCUGAGGCGCGAAGGCCAGGGGAGCAAACGGGAUUAGAUACCCCGGUAGUCCUGGCAGUAAACGGUGCACGUUUGGUGUGCGCGGAUUCGACCCCGUGCGUGCCGGAGCUAACGCGUUAAACGUGCCGCCUGAGAAGUACGGUCGCAAGAUUAAAACUCAAAGAAAUUGACGGGGGCCCGCACAAGCGGUGGAGUAUGUGGCUUAAUUCGAUGCAACGCGAAGAACCUUACCUGGGCUUGACAUGCAUUGUGUCGUCGGUGAAAGCCGACUAGUGUAGCAAUACACGCUUUGCACAGGUGCUGCAUGGCUGUCGUCAGCUCGUGUCGUGAGAUGUUGGGUUAAGUCCCGCAACGAGCGCAACCCUUGUGAACUGUUGC